RNAcentral lists this ribosomal RNA (253 nucleotides) under uncultured bacterium. RNAcentral's name for it is "partial 16S ribosomal RNA". It matches the Rfam family "Bacterial small subunit ribosomal RNA", at positions 524 to 776 of the family's 1533-position model. The record is from RNAcentral.
UACAGAGGUCUCAAGCGUUGUUCGGAUUCAUUGGGCGUAAAGGGUGCGUAGGCGGCGCGGUAAGUCGGGUGUGAAAUCUCGGGGCUUAACUCCGAAACUGCAUUCGAUACUGCCGUGCUUGAGGACUGGAGAGGAGACUGGAAUUUACGGUGUAGCGGUGAAAUGCGUAGAUAUCGUAAGGAAGACCAGUGGCGAAGGCGGCCACCUAGCCCGCACCUGACGCUGAGGCGCGACAGCGUGGGGAGCGAACUGG